UACGUAGGGUGCGAGCGUUAAUCGGAUUUAUUGGGCGUAAAGCGUGCGCAGGCGGCCCGUUAAGACAGGUGUGAAAUCCCUGGGCUCAACCUAGGAAUUGCGCUUGUGACUGGCGGGCUCGAGUACGGUAGAGGGGGGUGGAAUUCCUGGUGUAGCAGUGAAAUGCGUAGAGAUCAGGAGGAACACCGAUGGCGAAGGCAGCCCCCUGGGCCUGUACUGACGCUCAUGCACGAAAGCGUGGGGAGCAAACAGG
Molecule: ribosomal RNA, 253 nt
Filed under: uncultured microorganism
Description: partial 16S ribosomal RNA
Rfam family: Bacterial small subunit ribosomal RNA
Source: RNAcentral